GAUGAACGCUGGCGGCGUGCCUAAUACAUGCAAGUCGAGCGAACGGACGAGAAGCUUGCUUCUCUGAUGUUAGCGGCGGACGGGUGAGUAACACGUGGAUAACCUACCUAUAAGACUGGGAUAACUUCGGGAAACCGUAGCUAAUACCGGAUAAUAUUUUCAACCGCAUGGUUCAAAAGUGAAAGACGGUCUUGCUGUCACUUAUAGAUGGAUCCGCGCUGCAUUAGCUAGUUGGUAAGGUAACGGCUUACCAAGGCAACGAUGCAUAGCCGACCUGAGAGGGUGAUCGGCCACACUGGAACUGAGACACGGUCCAGACUCCUACGGGAGGCAGCAGUAGGGAAUCUUCCGCAAUGGGCGAAAGCCUGACGGAGCAACGCCGCGUGAGUGAUGAAGGUCUUCGGAUCGUAAAACUCUGUUAUUAGGGAAGAACAUAUGUGUAAGUAACUGUGCACAUCUUGACGGUACCUAAUCAGAAAGCCACGGCUAACUACGUG
Molecule: ribosomal RNA, 497 nt
Filed under: uncultured bacterium
Lineage: Bacteria
Description: partial 16S ribosomal RNA
Rfam family: Bacterial small subunit ribosomal RNA
Source: RNAcentral